UGAUGAAGCUUCGGCAGAUUCUUGUUAAAUCUUAGUGGCGGACGGGUGAGUAACGCGUGGGCAACCUGCCUCAUACUGGGGGAUAACAGCUGGAAACGACUGUUAAUACCGCAUAAGCGCACAGCAUCGCAUGAUGCAGUGUGAAAAACUCCGGUGGUAUGAGAUGGGCCCGCGUCAGAUUAGCCAGUUGGCAGGGUAACGGCCUACCAAAGCGACGAUCUGUAGCCGGCCUGAGAGGGCGGACGGCCACAUUGGGACGAGACACGGCCCAAACUCCUACGGGAGGCAGCAGUGGGGGAUAUUGCACAAUGGAGGAAACUCUGAUGCAGCGACGCCGCGUGAGUGAAGAAGUAUUUCGGUAUGUAAAGCUCUAUCAGCAGGGAAGAAAGACUCGUAAGAGAGAUGACGGUACCUGACUAAGAAGCCCCGGCUAAUUACGUGCCAGCAGCCGCGGUAAUACGUAGGGGGCAAGCGUUAUCCGGAUUUACUGGGUGUAAAGGGAGCGCAGACGGCUUAGCAAGUCUGAAGUGAAACCCCACGGCUCAACCGUGGGCUUGCUUUGGAAACUGUUAAUCUAGAGUACUGGAGAGGUAAGCGGAAUUCCUAGUGUAGCGGUGAAAUGCGUAGAUAUUAGGAGGAACAUCGGUGGCGAAGGCGGCUUAC
Molecule: ribosomal RNA, 663 nt
Filed under: Butyrivibrio sp. G81
Lineage: Bacteria; Bacillati; Bacillota; Clostridia; Lachnospirales; Lachnospiraceae
Description: bacterial SSU rRNA
Rfam family: Bacterial small subunit ribosomal RNA
Source: RNAcentral